GUGGUUGUAGCUCAGUUGGUUAGAGCAUCGGAUUGUGGUUCCGAGGGUCGUCGGUUCGAACCCGAUCAUCCACC
RNAcentral lists this transfer RNA (74 nucleotides) under Saprospiraceae bacterium. RNAcentral's name for it is "tRNA-His". It matches the Rfam family "tRNA". From Rfam's summary of the family: Transfer RNA (tRNA) molecules are approximately 80 nucleotides in length. Their secondary structure includes four short double-helical elements and three loops (D, anti-codon, and T loops). Further hydrogen bonds mediate the characteristic L-shaped molecular structure. tRNAs have two regions of fundamental functional importance: the anti-codon, which is responsible for specific mRNA codon recognition, and the 3' end, to which the tRNAs corresponding amino acid is attached (by aminoacyl-tRNA synthetases). tRNAs cope with the degeneracy of the genetic code in two manners: having more than one tRNA (with a specific anti-codon) for a particular amino acid; and 'wobble' base-pairing, i.e. permitting non-standard base-pairing at the 3rd anti-codon position. The record is from RNAcentral. Lineage: Bacteria; Pseudomonadati; Bacteroidota; Saprospiria; Saprospirales; Saprospiraceae.